UACGGAGGGAGCUAGCGUUGUUCGGAAUUACUGGGCGUAAAGCGCGCGUAGGCGGCCAGAUAAGUCCGGUGUGAAAGUCAAAGGCUCAACCUUUGAAUGCCGCUGGAUACUGCCUGGCUUGAGUCCGGAAGGGGCGAGUGGAAUUCCUGGUGUAGCGGUGAAAUGCGCAGAUAUCGAGAGGAACACCUGCGGCGAAGGCGGGUUGCUGGGCUGACACUGACGCUGAGGCGCGAAAGCCAGGGGAGCGAACGGG
Molecule: ribosomal RNA, 253 nt
Filed under: uncultured bacterium
Lineage: Bacteria
Description: partial 16S ribosomal RNA
Rfam family: Bacterial small subunit ribosomal RNA
Source: RNAcentral